GACGAACGCUGGCGGCGUGCUUAACACAUGCAAGUCGAACGGAAAGGCCCUGCUUUUGUGGGGUGCUCGAGUGGCGAACGGGUGAGUAACACGUGAGUAACCUGCCCUUGACUUUGGGAUAACUUCAGGAAACUGGGGCUCAUACCGGAUAGGAGCUCCUGCUGCAUGGUGUGGGUUGGAAAGUUUCGGCGGUUGGGGAUGGACUCGCGGCUUAUCAGCUUGUUGGUGUGGUAGUGGCUUACCAAGGCUUUGACGGGUAGCCGGCCUGAGAGGGUGACCGGCCACAUGGGGACUAAGAUACGGCCCAGACGCCUACGGGAGGCAGCAGUGGAGAGUAUUGCACAAUGAGCCGAAGCCUGAUGCAGCAACGCCGGGUGCGGGAUGACGGCCUUCGGGUGGUAAACCGAUUUCGCCUGUGACGAAGCGUGAGUGACGGUAAUGGGUAAAGAAGCACCGGCUAACUACGUG
Molecule: ribosomal RNA, 468 nt
Filed under: uncultured bacterium
Lineage: Bacteria
Description: partial 16S ribosomal RNA
Rfam family: Bacterial small subunit ribosomal RNA
Source: RNAcentral